CACUCUCCAAAGCAAUUGAGUCUGGUUGCAUCAUGAGUGCAGCUGCUCCGUAACAAACUGAAGUUUGAAGCUGAGUACUGUGUUCACAUCAGACCCUCAGGACAAGUGGCUUCAUAUUUCCAGCUUUGAUUCUGGCUCGCUCCUGUGACUGAGACAUUUUUAUCCGUGGAAAAGGAGUUCCGUCCUAUAAUAGAGAUUUUUUUUUUACCCGGGUGGAAAGUGUCCACUAAAUCGUUGCUGAGCGCUCCUUUGAGAGACCCGUAUCUGAUUCCAGGCUGAUGUGGCCCUCCUGAGGCCAGUUCUUAAUCUUGUAAGUGAUGGAAAAGCAGGACAAUGACCAAGAGCAUCAGAAGUCUCCAGACUGGACAGAAGAACAACUGGACAAGGAGGUGAAAGUGGAAUAUUCUCCAACAUUGUUGGGACAAACUUUCCAAACAUCCAUCAUUUCCAGCUCUGGAAAGAAUGCUGUGAAUGUGUUUGGCUGCUGGAUGAGUCCAAAACACUUUUAGGUUGCCAAGAUUUAUAUAUUUGUUCUAUUCUUAAAUUCAGAAACACAGACAUUACACUAUGUGUGCAUUUUGGAAUAAGAUGGAAAACUGUAGGUGUUCUAAUACCUUUGACGGUUUGGGACUGAGCAUUUAUUUCCUUCUGUCUUUGUUAAUUGAUUAACACUUUUUUCGAUAGCUGUUCUGAUUAAAUGAUCAAUAGCUGAUUAAUAAUUUAAAUAAUUAAGGUAAUGUCUUUGUUCCAGCUUCUCAGAUGUGUUGUCCCCCCCCCCCCCCGUCUUUUAUAAAUUUUACAAUUUAUUACAUAAUCUAUUAUCGAUUAUAUAUAUGUGUGUGUGUGUGUGUGUGUGUGCGCGCGCAUGUGCUGAUAAAGCCAUACAAUCUGACACCAUUAGAAGAAUUUGACACAGAAGCAAUGUAUUAUUUAUCUCAACUUGUAUUUACCUUCAGAGCACAGUUCCUGCACUGAAUACAGUUACAGUUUCAUGACUGAGGAAACUUACAGAAACUGGGAUAUUUCCCUUUUAUGUCAUCAUCACUCUAAGUUCAUUAAACUUAAGUCUGCUCUCACA
Long non-coding RNA from Scophthalmus maximus (turbot), 1078 nucleotides. RefSeq lists it as uncharacterized. NCBI's taxonomy places the organism in Eukaryota, Metazoa, Chordata, Actinopteri, Pleuronectiformes, Scophthalmidae. The transcript has 2 exons. The record is from RefSeq and is a predicted model, not a curated record.